UACGGAGGAUGCAAGCGUUAUCCGGAUUUAUUGGGUUUAAAGGGUGCGUAGGCGGAAUAAUAAGUCAGCGGUGAAAUCCUGUGGCUCAACCAUAGAAUUGCCAUUGAUACUGUUAUUCUUGAGUAUAGUUGAAGUGGGCGGAAUGUAUAAUGUAGCGGUGAAAUGCUUAGAUAUUAUACAGAACACCAAUUGCGAAGGCAGCUCACUAAGCUGUUACUGACGCUGAGGCACGAAAGCGUGGGGAGCAAACAGG
This 253-nucleotide ribosomal RNA is filed under the name uncultured bacterium. RNAcentral's name for it is "partial 16S ribosomal RNA". It matches the Rfam family "Bacterial small subunit ribosomal RNA", at positions 524 to 776 of the family's 1533-position model. The record is from RNAcentral.